RNAcentral lists this ribosomal RNA (493 nucleotides) under uncultured soil bacterium. Its description in RNAcentral is "bacterial SSU rRNA". It matches the Rfam family "Bacterial small subunit ribosomal RNA", at positions 96 to 633 of the family's 1533-position model. The record is from RNAcentral.
UGGCGAACGGGUGAGUAAUAUAUCGGAACAUACCCAGUAAUGGGGGAUAACUAUCCGAAAGGAUAGCUAAUACCGCAUACGCUAAGGGAAAGAGGUGUUAUUGGAGUGGCCGAUAUCUGAUUAGCUAGUUGGUAGGGUAAAAGCCUACCAAGGCAACGAUCAGUAGCUGGUUUGAGAGAACGACCAGCCACACUGGAACUGAGACACGGUCCAGACUCCUACGGGAGGCAGCAGUGGGGAAUUUUGGACAAUGGGCGCAAGCCUGAUCCAGCAAUGCCGCGUGAGUGAAGAAGGCCCUCGGGUUGUAAAGCUCUUUUGUCAGGGAAGAAUGACGGUACCUGAAGAAUAAGCACCGGCUAACUACGUGCCAGCAGCCGCGGUAAUACGUAGGGUGCAAGCGUUAAUCGGAAUUACUGGGCGUAAAGCGUGCGCAGGCGGUUAUAUAAGUCAGAUGUGAAAUCCCCGGGCUCAACCUGGGAACUGCAUUAGAGAC